AGACCCGAAACCCGGUGAUCUAGCCAUGGGCAGGUUGAAGGUUGGGUAACACUAACUGGAGGACCGAACCGACUAAUGUUGAAAAAUUAGCGGAUGACCUGUGGCUGGGGGUGAAAGGCCAAUCAAACCGGGAGAUAGCUGGUUCUCCCCGAAAGCUAUUUAGGUAGCGCCUCGUGAAUUCAUCUCCGGGGGUAGAGCACUGUUUCGGCUAGGGGGCCAUCCCGGCUUACCAACCCGAUGCAAACUGCGAAUACCGGAGAAUGUUAUCACGGGAGACACACGGCGGGUGCUAACGUCCGUCGUGAAGAGGGAAACAACCCAGACCGCCAGCUAAGGUCCCAAAGUCAUGGUUAAGUGGGAAACGAUGUGGGAAGGCCCAGACAGCCAGGAUGUUGGCUUAGAAGCAGCCAUCAUUUAAAGAAAGCGUAAUAGCUCACUGGUCGAGUCGGCCUGCGCGGAAGAUGUAACGGGGCUAAACCAUGCACCGAAGCUGCGGCAGCGAACGUAUCACCCAAGACAACUUUACGGAGUUGACGAUUGACGGAGCGAAGCGACGUCAAAGCGUUCAUUAAAGUCGAGUUGGCUUAGGGAUACGUUCGUUGGGUAGGGGAGCGUUCUGUAAGCCUGUGAAGGUGUGUCGUGAGGCAUGCUGGAGGUAUCAGAAGUGCGAAUGCUGACAUAAGUAACGAUAAAGCGGGUGAAAAGCCCGCUCGCCGGAAGACCAAGGGUUCCUGUCCAACGUUAAUCGGGGCAGGGUGAGUCGACCCCUAAGGCGAGGCCGAAAGGCGUAGUCGAUGGGAAACGGGUUAAUAUUCCCGUACUUGGUGUUACUGCGAAGGGGGGACGGAGAAGGCUAUGUUGGCCGGGCGACGGUUGUCCCGGUUUAAGCGUGUAGGUGUGUGUUCCAGGUAAAUCCGGUUCACUUUAACACUGAGGCGUGACGACGAGGCACUACGGUGCUGAAGCAACAAAUGCCCUGCUUCCAGGAAAAGCCUCUAAGCAUCAGGUAACAUCAAAUCGUACCCCAAACCGACACAGGUGGUCAGGUAGAGAAUACCAAGGCGCUUGAGAGAACUCGGGUGAAGGAACUAGGCAAAAUGGUGCCGUAACUUCGGGAGAAGGCACGCUGACACGUAGGUGAAGUGAUUUACUCAUGGAGCUGAAGUCAGUCGAAGAUACCAGCUGGCUGCAACUGUUUAUUAAAAACACAGCACUGUGCAAACACGAAAGUGGACGUAUACGGUGUGACGCCUGCCCGGUG
RNAcentral lists this ribosomal RNA (1261 nucleotides) under Salmonella enterica subsp. enterica serovar Typhimurium. RNAcentral's name for it is "partial 23S ribosomal RNA". It matches the Rfam family "Bacterial large subunit ribosomal RNA", at positions 711 to 1868 of the family's 2925-position model. The record is from RNAcentral. Lineage: Bacteria; Pseudomonadati; Pseudomonadota; Gammaproteobacteria; Enterobacterales; Enterobacteriaceae.